GGCGGAAUUGACCUGCUGCAGGGAGAGUUGUCCGGUUUUUGACUUUUAUUAUUACUCUCUGUUCCGGGAGAUCUAGAGCAGAGGAUGAGAACGACUUCCUGCAGCUGAGUUUUGACCUGUUCUGGAUCUUACUUCAUUAUUCACAACAGCCAGAAGGUGGAAACAACCCAAACAUCCAUCAACAGAUGAAUGAAUCGACAAAAUGUGGUCUAUCCACACAAUGGAAUAUUACUCAGCCGUGAAAAGGAAUGGAUGCAUGCUACGGCAUGGAAACUUGAAAACGUGAUGCUAAGUGAACUCCCCUGGUGGCGUAGUGGUUAAGAAUCCACCUGACAAUGCAGGGGACACGGGUUUGAGCCCUGCUCCAGGAAGAUCCUACAUGCUGCUGAAGCAACUAAGCCUGUGUGCCACAACUACUGAGCCCGUGUGCCACAACUACUGAAGCCUGAGCGCCUAGAGCCUGUUCUCCACAACAGGCGAAGUCACCGCAAUGAGAAGCCUGCGCACCAUAACAAAGAGUAGCCCAUGCUCACCUCAACUAGAGAAGGCCCUUGCACAGCAACGAA
This is a long non-coding RNA of Hippopotamus amphibius kiboko, 566 nucleotides long. RefSeq lists it as uncharacterized. The transcript has 3 exons. Lineage: Eukaryota; Metazoa; Chordata; Mammalia; Artiodactyla; Hippopotamidae. The record is from RefSeq and is a predicted model, not a curated record.